RNAcentral lists this ribosomal RNA (407 nucleotides) under Capsala martinieri. Its description in RNAcentral is "eukaryotic LSU rRNA". It matches the Rfam family "Eukaryotic large subunit ribosomal RNA", at positions 64 to 439 of the family's 3401-position model. Lineage: Eukaryota; Metazoa; Platyhelminthes; Monogenea; Capsalidea; Capsalidae. The record is from RNAcentral.
ACUAACAGGAUUCUCUUAGUAACUGCGAGUGAACAGAGAUUAGCCCAACAUCGAAGCUCGCAAGCAUAUUGUUUGUUGAGCAAUGUGAUGUUAAGAUGUUUGUUAACGUAGACUGGCCGACUUGAAGUCCAAAUUUGAAUGUGGCAUAUAUGUAUAAACCCAAAGAUGGUGAAAGGCCCGUUCAAGUUGGUAAUCAGAUGUGACAGUUUGCGUGUAUGCAUUCAUCUUGGAGUCGGAUUGCUUGAGAGUGCAGUCCAAAGUUGGUGGUAAACUCCAUCUAAGGCUAAAUACCUGUACGAGUCCGAUAGUUAACAAGUACCGUGAGGGAAAGUUGAAAAGUACUCUGAAGAGAGAGUAAACAGUACGUGAAACUACAUGGAGGUUAAUCAGAUAGAGUCAAGCUGCUU